This 541-nucleotide ribosomal RNA is filed under the name uncultured bacterium. Its description in RNAcentral is "bacterial SSU rRNA". It matches the Rfam family "Bacterial small subunit ribosomal RNA", at positions 355 to 912 of the family's 1533-position model. The record is from RNAcentral.
UGGGGAAUCUUGGACAAUGGGGGCAACCCUGAUCCAGCCAUGCCGCGUGAGCGAUGAAGGCCUUAGGGUUGUAAAGCUCUUUCACCGGUGAAGAUAAUGACGGUAGCCGGAGAAGAAGCCCCGGCUAACUCCGUGCCAGCAGCCGCGGUAAUACGGAGGGGGUUAGCGUUGUUCGGAAUUACUGGGCGUAAAGCGCACGUAGGCGGACCAGAAAGUUGGGGGUGAAAUCCCGGGGGCUCAACCCCGGAACUGCCUCCAAAACUAUUGGUCUAGAGUUCGAGAGAGGUGAGUGGAAUUCCAAGUGUAGAGGUGAAAUUCGUAGAUAUUUGGAGGAACACCAGUGGCGAAGGCGGCUCACUGGCUCGAUACUGACGCUGAGGUGCGAAAGUGUGGGGAGCAAACAGGAUUAGAUACCCUGGUAGUCCACACCGUAAAACGAUGAAUGCCAGUCGUCGGGUAGCAUGCUAUUCGGUGACACACCUAACGGAUUAAGCAUUCCGCCUGGGGAGUACGGUCGCAAGAUUAAAACUCAAAGGAAUUG